RNAcentral lists this ribosomal RNA (468 nucleotides) under uncultured bacterium. Its description in RNAcentral is "partial 16S ribosomal RNA". It matches the Rfam family "Bacterial small subunit ribosomal RNA", at positions 28 to 507 of the family's 1533-position model. The record is from RNAcentral.
GACGAACGCUGGCGGCGUGCUUAACACAUGCAAGUCGAACGGAAAGGCCCUGCUUUUGUGGGGUGCUCGAGUGGCGAACGGGUGAGUAACACGUGAGUAACCUGCCCUUGACUUUGGGAUAACUUCAGGAAACUGGGGCUAAUACCGUAUAGGAGCUCCUGCUGCAUGGUGGGGGUUGGAAAGUUUCGGCGGUUGGGGAUGGACUCGCGGCUUAUCAGCUUGUUGGUGGGGUAGUGGCUUACCAAGGCUUUGACGGGUAGCCGGCCUGAGAGGGUGACCGGCCACAUUGGGACUGAGAUACGGCCCAGACGGCUACGGGAGGCAGCAGUGGGGAAUAUUGCACAAUGGGCGGAAGCCUGAUGCAGCAACGCUGCGUGCGGGAUGACGGCCUUCGGGUUGUAAACCGCUUUCGCCUGUGACGAAGCGUGAGUGACGGUAAUGGGUAAAGAAGCACCGGCUAACUACGUG